RNAcentral lists this ribosomal RNA (756 nucleotides) under uncultured bacterium. RNAcentral's name for it is "bacterial SSU rRNA". It matches the Rfam family "Bacterial small subunit ribosomal RNA", at positions 736 to 1505 of the family's 1533-position model. The record is from RNAcentral.
GCAACUGACGCUGAAGCUCGAAGGUGCGGGUAUCGAACAGGAUUAGAUACCCUGGUAGUCCGCACAGUAAACGAUGGAUGCCCGCUGUUAGCACCUAGUGUUAGCGGCUAAGCGAAAGCAUUAAGCAUCCCACCUGGGGAGUACGCCGGCAACGGUGAAACUCAAAGGAAUUGACGGGGGCCCGCACAAGCGGAGGAACAUGUGGUUUAAUUCGAUGAUACGCGAGGAACCUUACCCGGGCUUGAAUUGCAGAUGAACGAUUUAGAGAUAAUGAGGUCCUUCGGGACAUCUGUGAAGGUGCUGCAUGGUUGUCGUCAGCUCGUGCCGUGAGGUGUCGGCUUAAGUGCCAUAACGAGCGCAACCCCUUUCUUUAGUUGCCAUCAGGUUCUGCUGGGCACUCUGGAGAUACUGCCACCGUAAGGUGUGAGGAAGGUGGGGAUGACGUCAAAUCAGCACGGCCCUUACGUCCGGGGCUACACACGUGUUACAAUGGCCGGUACAGAGAGUUGGUCGUGCGCAAGUACGGUCUAAUCCAUAAAACCGGUCUCAGUUCGGACUGGGGUCUGCAACCCGACCCCACGAAGCUGGAUUCGCUAGUAAUCGCGCAUCAGCCAUGGCGCGGUGAAUACGUUCCCGGGCCUUGUACACACCGCCCGUCAAGCCAUGAAAGCCGGGGGCGCUUGAAGUCCGUGACCGCAAGGAUCGGCCUAGAGCGAAACUGGUAAUUGGGGCUAAGUCGUAACAAGGUAGCCGUAA